Molecule: non-coding RNA, 24 nt
Filed under: Arabidopsis thaliana (thale cress)
Lineage: Eukaryota; Viridiplantae; Streptophyta; Magnoliopsida; Brassicales; Brassicaceae
Source: RNAcentral
GAGACCGUCAAUGUCUGAGAUAGU